Lathyrus oleraceus (garden pea) is the source of this 2251-nucleotide long non-coding RNA. RefSeq lists it as uncharacterized. The transcript is spliced from 4 exons. Lineage: Eukaryota; Viridiplantae; Streptophyta; Magnoliopsida; Fabales; Fabaceae. The record is from RefSeq and is a predicted model, not a curated record.
UCUCUUGGACUGUCUGGGUUCGGGUUAAUGAACCUGCUCCAGCCUGGCCCAAAUGGGAGGCGACAAGAAUCCCAAGCCAUCCCUAACCGCGUGGCCGUUUGGUAGGCGAACAGAGGGACAAGAAACAUCCUCAUUAAUGGCUAGUUGUCAACCAUUCAUGGGAAAUAGCAAGGUUGGGAAAACUGAAGGGUCACGAGUAAAUAGAAACGGCGCACGCACGUGAACUAAGUAGAAGCACCACAAAAUAACACGAGAUCCUCACUUCAAAUUUCAUUUUUAUAAAGCACGAAUGGUGACAAGGGUGAUACCAACGAUGGAGUUUCGAGUAGCGACGCCCAACAAUAGUAAACAACAAACACAACAAGCAUAGGGAGAAAGUAAUAACUUGUGAAACCACGACUGCGAUAAUGGCUUGGUCCUUCUCCGCAUUAUCUCCCCCUCCUUCCGUGUUCAGUAGUGGUGGAUUGAGAUAAUUAGAGUUUCGAUUGGAACUCUAGUAAACUGUGUGAGAUGAUUUCGUGAGACUGAGGAAAAAAACUAUAUGAAAACUCCCUGGUUUUUCUCUCUUUUUCUUCUUUGAAUCUCGUUAGGGUUUUUUCUCACUUUGCCGUCGUAUUGAAUUUUUAGGGUUUCUUAUUUUAAACAGUCCCCUUCAAUGAGGAGAAAGUUCUCCCUUUUAUAUUCAUCCUUUUAGGGUUUGAAUUGGCCGUUGAGACCAAAGGAGUAUCGGAAUUGGGAGUGCUUGCGGUGUUGCCAGUUGUCUACCCUAUUUUGAUGUUUAUCCUGAAAAAGGAAGGAGGGGUGUAUAAUCCGAAGUAUGGUUGCAAUCUGGGUGCAUUGAGGGAGUUUGCAUCUGUACACAACCCAAAGAAUCAGACUCCAUAUUUGGUCUUUGUUGGUGAAUGCUAUUCUGGGAAGUGACCCCACUAGAAGAGGCUUCAUAGAAUUGCUUCAGAGUUGCACGUUGCUCCUCGAGGGCAUAAGGAUGAUCAAAAUCACCAUCUUCUAGACAACUAAUUUUUCUCUUUCCCACUGAUUGCUUUAACAUUUGCCUUUGUAUCCUUUGUUCACUCAAGACCAAAGCAGCUGAAUCAAAAUCAUUACAGCCAGCAAGAUCAGGAGACUUCCUAAGACGUUUAUUUCUUCGUACAGAUGCACCCUGGGCAUUUCUCAAUCAGAAGCAAUAACACGACUGUUUGGAGGCCCAUCCUUACCAACAACAUUAUGCAUAGGCUGCUGGUUCAAAAAUGGCGGUCGGGCGGACUCGAAGGAGAAGUAGCACAAGAUCAUGGAGCAAAAUGAAGCAUCAAUUGAACUCGCAGCGGGAGCUUGAUCGGGGAACUCAACUCAAUGAAAAUAGGAUGAUGUAAGGGCCUAGGAAACAAGUACAAGAUUUCACGCCUCUUCUCUCCUCUUGUUGAUUUUGAAAAUACCAAAAAUUGAUUUUUGUAGUUCACACCAUGCCAACAUUCACUUACGGAUCUAGAGUCAUGGCAUUGAUUGGUGAGUUGUUAUACGCGCGACGGUUCGCGUUUCAUUUUCAUCUCUGCACUUUGUUGUUUCAGAAAAUAGCAAGCGGUACCGGCGGUAAACCUCUUCUUUGGAUGUUGUAGCAAUGCAAACAAGUGCAAGGAAGUGUAUGAGGCCGCGAGUAUCUUCGAUUCUGGGGUUUCCAGAAGAGGAAUUGAAGACAGAAGUUGAGAAUGGAAAAGAUUCACUUUGUUCCUCUUUGGAGACUCUGCUUGAACUCCACAUUGCUAAUCUACCCUCAAAUAUAAUUAUGAUCAUCAGCUUUUAAAGUUUAGACUUUUGAAAUUAUAAACUUUCCCUUUCAACUUCUUUAUCAAGUGUAACAUAGAUGCUGAGCCCUGUACGACACUCUGACUUCCAUAUGUUGAGUUCAACAGACUAGAAUCUUUCAUUAUUAUGAGUUUUUUCACCAAAUCCAAAGGUAACCAAAGCAUGAGCAGGACGCCCAAAAGAUGAUCUUCCAACAUGAGGGGCAUAAGAAUGUUGUUGUCCACCAUGUAACGAUUGAUUGUAGUAAUCAAUGGACUGUUGACUUUCAGCAGCAUAAUUGUUUAAGAAAUUCUUUUUUUGUUCAUCAAACUGUGUAUUUGAACAAUUAAAAUGUUGACCAAAGUUCCCACUAGGGGCAAAGCAUUGUGGUUCAACAGUUCCAAUUAGCUAAACCGUGAUCAUGGUUAAAUUUAUUAUUCAAUGAAACUGAUCCAAGUGAUGGUUAAAUUUA